This 497-nucleotide ribosomal RNA is filed under the name uncultured bacterium. RNAcentral describes it as "partial 16S ribosomal RNA". It matches the Rfam family "Bacterial small subunit ribosomal RNA", at positions 28 to 507 of the family's 1533-position model. The record is from RNAcentral.
GAUGAACGCUGGCGGCGUGCCUAAUACAUGCAAGUCGAGCGAACAGACGAUGAUCUUGCUCCUCUCACGUUAGCGGCGGACGUGUGAGUCACACGUGUAUAACCUACCUAUAAGACUGAUAUAACUUCGGGACACCGGCGCUAAUACCGUAUAAUAUACUGAUCCACGUUGUUCAAUAGUAAAAUACGGUGUUUCUGUCACUUAUAGAUGGAUCCGCGCCGCAUUAGAUAGUUGUUAAGGUAACGGCUUACCAAGGCAACGAUGCGUAGCCGAACUGAGAGGGUGAUAGGCCACACUGGAACUGGGACACGGUCAAGACUACUGAGGGAGGCAGCAGUAGGGAAUCUUACGCAAUGGGGGAAAGCCUGACGGAGUAACGCGGAGUGAGAGAUGAAGGUCUUGGGAUCGUGAAAAUCUGUUAUUAGGGAAGAACAACUGUGUAAGUAACUAUGCACGUAUUGACGGUACCUAAUCAGAAAGCAACGGCUAACUACGUG